This 225-nucleotide ribosomal RNA is filed under the name Triticum aestivum (bread wheat). RNAcentral describes it as "partial small subunit ribosomal RNA". The record is from RNAcentral. Lineage: Eukaryota; Viridiplantae; Streptophyta; Magnoliopsida; Poales; Poaceae.
AUGCAAUUAUCGUGUAACAAGUAUUCACGGUCCAAAACCCUGGCACAAGUCACAGCGCAACCGAAUGACUGUCCUUUUUGGAAGGGGCUGAUGAGGACAAAGGUCACCUUCAUCAAUAGGAGUAAAUUCAUUGUAGGGGAUGGAAACACUACUAGAUUUUGGAAACAUACCUAGCUAGGGGAGACACCAUUAGCCUUGCAUUGUCAAACAAAGACGCUUUUGUAA